This 454-nucleotide RNase P RNA is filed under the name Planktothrix serta PCC 8927. Its description in RNAcentral is "RNaseP_bact_a". It matches the Rfam family "Bacterial RNase P class A". Rfam says of the family: Ribonuclease P (RNase P) is a ubiquitous endoribonuclease, found in archaea, bacteria and eukarya as well as chloroplasts and mitochondria. Lineage: Bacteria; Bacillati; Cyanobacteriota; Cyanophyceae; Oscillatoriales; Microcoleaceae. The record is from RNAcentral.
AGAGUGAGCGCAGGCGAUUACGGACUCGAUAAGAGUCUGAGGAAAGUCCGGGCUCCCGAAAGGCCAAACUUGCUGGAUAACUCCCAGUACGAGCGAUCGUGAGGAUAGUGCCACAGAAAAAUACCGCCUUUGACAGUCAGUAGAGACGCUUCAUUGCAGUCUGUACACAGUAAACAGUGAAUCUUUGGAUAACUGAUAACUGAUAACUGAUAACUGAAAAGGGUAAGGGUGCAAAGGUGCGGUAAGAGCGCACCAGCAACGUCGUGAGGCGUUGGCUCGGUAAACCCCGGUUGGGAGCAAGGUCGGAGGAACUAGGGUUGGUCUUUUUCCCGUUCCGCUCAAUAGUGGUACCGCUAGAGGUGUCUGGUAACAGACAUCCCAGAUAGAUAAUUGCCAUCCUAUCGCUGGUUUCAGCAAUAGGAUAACAGAACCCGGCUUAUGUCUAACUCUUUCC